CUCCACGGCUUUCUUGAACUU
Molecule: microRNA, 21 nt
Filed under: Amborella trichopoda
Lineage: Eukaryota; Viridiplantae; Streptophyta; Magnoliopsida; Amborellales; Amborellaceae
Description: atr-miR396d
Gene: atr-miR396d
Source: miRBase by way of RNAcentral